Manis pentadactyla (Chinese pangolin) is the source of this 3019-nucleotide long non-coding RNA. RefSeq lists it as uncharacterized. NCBI's taxonomy places the organism in Eukaryota, Metazoa, Chordata, Mammalia, Pholidota, Manidae. The record is from RefSeq and is a predicted model, not a curated record. The transcript has 2 exons.
GGCGCUCAAAGGGAGAAAGACGCAAGGAUCGUUGCGCUCUGCUGACCCUGGAAUGAAAACUUGAGAAGGGCUUUCACUGCUGGGUUAAAUCGUAUCCGGGUGUGGAAGGCGAGCUUUGUGCAGAGAAGUGGGAGUAGUCCAUUUGCCGUUGUGGUCACAGGGGACUUUUUUCCUUUUAUUAAAUUGAAGAGUUGGCAUACAAAAUUAUAUUAGUUUCAUAUUUACAUCGUAGUGAUUCUACAAUUAUAUACAUUAUGAAAUGGUCACUGUGACGAGUGUAGUUACUGUCAACAUACCAAGAAAUAACAUUAUUAUUGGCUAUAUUCUCUAUGCUGCCUUUCAUCCCCGUGACUCAAUUUUCUGUAAUUUAAAGUUUGUGCCUCUUUAACUCCUUUACUAUUCAUAUUUUACCCAUCCCUCCACCUUCUCCCCUGUGGCAAUCACCAGUCCCUUCUCUGUGUUUGAGUCUAUUUCUAUUUUGUUAGUUUGUUUUAGAUUCCACGUGUAAGUGAAAUCAUGUGGUAUUUGUCUUCUUCUAUCUAAUUUCACUUAGCAUAAUACCCUCUUGGUCCAUCCAUGUUGUCACAAAUGCCAAGAUUUCAUUCUUUUUUAUGACUGAGUAAUAUUCCAUCAUGUAUAUGUACCACAUCUUCUUUAUCCAUUCACCCAUUGAUGGUUGAUGAUGGUUAGGUUGCUUCCAUAUCUUGACUAUUAUAAGUAAUGAGGCAAUAAACAUAGGGGUGCAUAGAUCUUUUUGAAUUAGUGACGUUGUUUUCUUCUGGGAAAUUUCCAGAAGUAGGAUUACUGAGUCUUAUGGUAUUUCUAUUUUGUUUUUUGUGAAACCUCCAUACUGCUUUCCAUAGUGGCUGCACCAGUUUACAUCCCUUUUCUCUACCACCUCACCAACACUUGUUUCUAGUUUUUCUUUUUUUGAUAUUAGUCAUUCUGACUGGUGUGAGGUGAUGUCUUAUUGUGAUUUUAUUUGCAUUUCCCUGAUGAUUAGUAAUGUCGAACAUCUUUACAUGUGUCUGUUGGCCAUCUGUAUGUCUUCUUCUGAAAAAUGUUUUAAAGUGGAUUAUUUGCCUUUUUUUGGGUAUUGAGUUGUAUGAGUUCUUCAUAAAAUUUGGAUAUUAGCCCUUUAUUGGAUAUAUCAUUUGCAAAUAUCUUUUCCCAUUCAGUAGACUGCCAUUUUGUUUGGUUGAUGGUUUCCUUUGCUGUACUUUAUUUUGCUUUUGUGUCCCUUGCCUGGGGAGACAUAUCCAAAAAAAAUUAUUAGUGCUGAUAUUCAAGAGGUUCCUGCCUCUAUUUUCUUCUAAGAGUUUUGUGGUUUCAGGUCCCAUAUUUAGGUCUUUAAUCCAUUUUGAGUUUAUUUUUGUGUGUGGUAUAAGACAGUGAUCCAAAUUCAUUCUGCAGGUAGCUGUCCAGUUUUCCCAACAACAUUUAUUGAAGAGGCUGUUUUUUCCCCCAGGGAACUUUUGAACUGUAAUAUAGAAGAGCAAGAGCCUGGAGGCAGGAAGACCAGGCAGAAAGGCACCGUCACAGCCCUGGCAGAACUAGUGGGGUAGAGUGAUGAUGGGAGGAAGCAUUGUGAGGGGAGGAGUGGGGAGCAGAUGGUGCUGCAAGAGGAAGAGCAGGUGUGGCCAUGCCACCUGUCUGAUAUUUACUAGGAGGAAACUGAGGCCCAGAGAGGAGAUCGGAGUUGCACAAGACCAUGCAACUAGUUUGGGUCAGGGAGGAGCCCAGGUCUUCAGGUGCAGAACCUAUGCUUCUUAACAGGCUGCUUCUCUCUUGCAACCUGGGAGGGUCACAGCCUGUGUUGACAGAGUCAAGCAGUUCCUCAUUCUGGAGUAAUAAAGAAACAAUGACGAUUUUGAAUGAACAGCCAUUUUCCUUAUUGUCUGUGUUCUUCCUCUGCAAGAUUAUGUUGAAAUAUUGUCCAAAGCAGUAAGCAUCUUAAAAAACCCCAUUCACAUCUAAUGACCAGAGUGAGUAACGGUCUUUGAUGUUACAGAACUCAUCUUAGGGAAGAUAAAAUGGGACACUGGGACCUUUGAUUCUCCUUAUCUUCAUAACAAAAUGUAUGUCUGCAGGGACAAGUGAGAGGCAUUGCAAUAGAGUGGGCAAAACUAGAAGUUGGGAAAUCUGGGUUUCUUGCACUGGACACCACCUUUGGUUCUCCUCAGCAAGUCUUGUCCACUGUCUGGAUCUGUUUCCUCAUCUAAACAAUGAGGGAAGUUCUCCAUCAUAUCCAGGGACCCUUUCCCCCAGUUUCUCUCCCCCUCCAUAAACUCCAGGUCUUUACUGAAAGCAGAAUUAGAGUGUGCUUGUGGAAGGAAAGAGGUAGAAAGUGUGGAAAUGCAUUUAAUUCAAUGAUUUUACACUCUAAGUUUAUUCUAUUUACUGAGUGUCAAUUUAUCUCAGGCACUUGGGCAUUUUCUUUGCUAAAAUGAGAAAGAAAAACCCACCAAUGAAUAAAUAAAAAUCAUGUCCCAACCUAAGGAACUGAGGUAGGGCAGAGACAUGGGAUAAGCAUCAUGAUUAAUUUUCCAAAAAAGCCGAGAUAUAAAUGGCAUAGUAAGAACAGGAGAGACUCCAUCUUAAAGCCAAGAUUCCAUUUUAAAAAGCAGAGUGUUGAGAAGUAAGAUUCCUAACAUAUUCUUUAGUAAUCAGCCAAUAGCUACCUUACAGCAGCACAAGCCUAAAUGAUAUGUCCCCUGCUUGAGGGUAACUACUAUCUUGGUGAGGAGCAGGAUCAAUAAAUUCCUCGGGUUAAGUUUAUCCUACAGAAUUAUCUAGAGAACUGACUGUGAAUGAAGACAUAGUAUCCUUCACUGGAGAGAGAUAUCAUGAGACCACAAGUCAAGCUGAAGCCCAACAAUCCCCCCUCUGCCCUUUGCCCCAUUCUUGAAAGCCUUAAAAGACAGAAUCCCCAGCCUUUCAGUGCACUUCAUCUCUGAGGUUGCCCGCACUCCCCUUUAGGUGUGUACUCCUAAAUAAAGCCUUCUCACUGCUCAACUUA